This 465-nucleotide ribosomal RNA is filed under the name uncultured bacterium. Its description in RNAcentral is "partial 16S ribosomal RNA". It matches the Rfam family "Bacterial small subunit ribosomal RNA", at positions 28 to 507 of the family's 1533-position model. The record is from RNAcentral.
GACGAACGCUGGCGGCGUGCUUAACACAUGCAAGUCGAACGGAAAGGCCCCUUUGGGGGUACUCGAGUGGCGACCGGGUGAGUAACACGUGAGUAACCUGCCCUUGACUUCGGGAUAACUUCAGGAAACUGGGGCUAAUACCGGAUAGGAAUCCUUGCUGCAUGGUGGGGGUUGGAAAGCUUCGGCGGUUUUGGAUGGACUCGCGGCUUAUCAGCUUGUUGGUGGGGUAGUGGCUUACCAAGGCUUUGACGGGUAGCCGGCCUGAGAGGGCGACCGGCCACAUUGGGACUGAGAUACGGCCCAGACUCCUACGGGAGGCAGCAGUGGGGAAUAUUGCACAAUGGGCGGAAGCCUGAUGCAGCAACGCCGCGUGCGGGAUGACGGCCUUCGGGUUGUAAACCGCUUUCAGCAGGGGCGAAGCUUGUGGUGACGGUACCUGCAGAAGAAGCACCGGCUAACUACGUG